This 62-nucleotide transfer RNA is filed under the name Paragonimus skrjabini miyazakii. RNAcentral's name for it is "tRNA-Ile". The record is from RNAcentral. Lineage: Eukaryota; Metazoa; Platyhelminthes; Trematoda; Plagiorchiida; Troglotrematidae.
CCGGUUGGGCUGCGUUAGCAGGUCGCUGUGAUAUAGCGGUUGUAAGAUUUUUCUUCGUCGGU